UAAAUAGAGAGAGAGAAGGAAAGAAAGUCGGAUUACUAUAUUUUUAUGAGUACAAUUAUAUUCGUACUCAUAAGUCGUUUUCAAUGAUUGAGCUUCCGGAUCGAGGAUUUAUACCGUUAAAUAUGAUUUAGAGUAUUUGAAACUUCUAGAAAUCAAAUUUCAUAAUUUUUCAAUAUCAAUUACCUUACGAUCGAAAGAUUUCAAAAUUAAUAUUUUUUAACGGUUAAUAUGAAAUACUUGUUAGUUUAAUAGUAUAAAAGAAUUAAAAUUAAUUAAAUUUUUGAUAAAAAAGUUUCAUUUACUAUCUAGAUAAAGAACAAUAACUCCGAUUUUAAAUUGAAGGAUCGAAUCAUCCAUUUUUAGAAAGUCAUUAAAUUUUGACUAUUCAUUUUAUAUCUGCUUGGUGGACUUUAUUUUAAUUUUGAAAAAUUAUAAAAUUUAUUUUCUACAAAUUUCAAAUGCUAAAUCAUAUUUAACGGUGUGAAUUGCCGAUUAGGAAGCUUCAUUAUUAAAAAUGACUUAUAAGUACAAAAAACUUUAUUCUUAUUAGAGUAUAUAUGAAGUAGUAUAUGAGUCUACUACUAUACUUUUAUAAGUAUAGAUCUCUUUGUACUUAUAAGUUUUUAGCCGUUAGAUCUACCUUUUUUACCAUUUCCAUCCAAUAGAUCAUACUAUUCAAUCAACCACCCACUCAACCCUAGAGGAUCACUAUAUAUCAUUCUAAUCAGAAACCACUAUCAUUCUAACCGCACAUCACUUUAUCCAACGAUCGAAAAUUUAUAAGUAUAAAAAGGUCAUAAGAGUAUAGUAGCCCUACUAUAUAUAUAUAGAGAGAGAGAGAGAGAGAAAGAGCUAGAGAGGGACUCAAAUUUUAAUAGGGUUAAUUUCAUAUAGGCUCCUCCAAAUAUAUUCUUACAAAAUUUAAUUUUCAUAUAUUAAUAUUCCUGUAAAAAUUCUGAUUUUUUCAAAUAUGGACUCUGCUUUAUUACCGUUAGAAAAUCGUUAAAAAACUGUUUAUAUUUUCAACUUUACUAUCAUAAAUAUGUCUCUCCAAAAGUCAUGACAGUAUAAUAUAAGAGGAGUAAAAAUAUUAAAAACUAAUUAGGAUUAAGUAUUUAAUCUAUGAUUAACUUAAAUUUUCUAAUGGAUUCUAACGGUAAAGAUAUAUUUAAAAAUAUCAAGAUUUUACAAGGACAAUAUAUAAAAAUUAAAUUUUAUAAAAAUAAAUUUAUCAUCCAUUAUAUUUCUAUUUAAUAAUAUAAGUCGUGCAACUGAGAAUAACAUGUAUUAGUUCUUUGUUCGCGUGGUGCAAUUGUAAAUUCAAACAGUGGAGGAGGCCAAGGAAAGUGUCGAC
This 1354-nucleotide long non-coding RNA is filed under the name Ananas comosus (pineapple). RNAcentral describes it as "long non-coding RNA (ACOM_LNC014146)". The record is from RNAcentral. Lineage: Eukaryota; Viridiplantae; Streptophyta; Magnoliopsida; Poales; Bromeliaceae.